This 315-nucleotide ribosomal RNA is filed under the name Triticum aestivum (bread wheat). RNAcentral's name for it is "partial small subunit ribosomal RNA". The record is from RNAcentral. Lineage: Eukaryota; Viridiplantae; Streptophyta; Magnoliopsida; Poales; Poaceae.
AUGGCGGAGGCUGACACGCUGGAUGAGUUCGCCGGCAAACUCGGUGGUAUGGCGACGCGCUUCCCCGGGCUCGGGUCGACACUGGAAGAUGCCGCGUUGGUGAAGAAACUGCUCGACUCCGUGCCGAAUCGCUUGUACGCGGCGGUGGUCGGAAUCGAGCAGUUCUGCGACGUGUCCACCAUGGCGUUUGAGGAGGCGCUGGGUCGCUUGAAUGCCUUCGACGAGUGGCUACGGCGAGGCGGACAAGCGGGCGGCGAGCAUGCGGACGGCCAGCUCAUGUACACGGCAGGGCACUGGAAGGCGCGGGAGCGGCAG